CUUGGAUAUCCGUGGUAAUUCUAGAGCUAAUACAUGCUUACAGCCCCGACUUCUGGAAGGGGCGAGUUUAUUAGAUAAAAAGCCGACGUUGUUGGUGAUUCAUGAUAACCUUUCGAAUCGCGAGUAAUCGCGAUGGUUCAUUCAAAUUUCUGCCCUAUCAAUUGAACCGUAGGGUAGUGGCCUACGGUGAUUUCUACGGGUAACGGGGAAUAAGGGUUCGAUUCCGGAGAGGGAGCCUGAGAAACGGCUACCACAUCCAAGGAAGGCAGCAGGCGCGCAAAUUACCCAAUCCCGACACGGGGAGGUAGUGACAAUAAAUAACGAUGCGGGGCACGUAUGUGUUUCGCAAUUGGAAUGAGUACAAUGUAAAUACCUUAACGAGGAACAAUUGGAGGGCAAGCCUGGUGCCAGCAGCCGCGGUAAUUCCAGCUCCAAAAGCGUAUAUUAAAGUUGUUGCAGUUAAAAAGCUCGUAGUUGAUUUUCGACGCAUCUGAGGGGUCCACUUCGGUGCGUACUCUGAGGGUGCGUUUUCUCUGGGGCGCCUUUUGGCAAGCCAGACUGUUACUUUGAAAAAAUUAGAGUGUUCAAAGCGGGCGAUAGCUUGAAUAUAUUAGCAUGGAAUAAUAGAAUAGGACGGAUGGAUCUAUUUUGUUGGUUUCUAGAACCAUCGUAAUGAUUAAUGGGCAUCGGCGGGGGCAUCGGUAUUCAAAUGUCAGAGGUGAAAUUCUUGGAUUAUUUGAAGACCAACUGCUGCGAAAGCGUUUGCCAAGGAGAUUGCCGUCAAUCAAGAACGAAAGUUAGGGGAUCGAAGAUGAUCAGAUACCGUCGUAGUCCUAACCGUAAACGAUGCCGACUAGGNNUCGGGUGGCGUUCAUUUCUGACUCACUCGGCACCUUAGGAGAAAUCAAAGUCUUUGGGUUCUGG
RNAcentral lists this ribosomal RNA (924 nucleotides) under Diutina rugosa. RNAcentral describes it as "SSU rRNA". It matches the Rfam family "Eukaryotic small subunit ribosomal RNA", at positions 138 to 1117 of the family's 1831-position model. The record is from RNAcentral. Lineage: Eukaryota; Fungi; Ascomycota; Pichiomycetes; Serinales; Debaryomycetaceae.